RNAcentral lists this long non-coding RNA (675 nucleotides) under Homo sapiens (human). Its description in RNAcentral is "HSALNT0019961". Lineage: Eukaryota; Metazoa; Chordata; Mammalia; Primates; Hominidae. The record is from RNAcentral.
CCCUCUGCCAAACCUGUUGCUUCACUUCUCUCUUGAACUACUUGCUCCUUGAGCUCAGCAUUGCCACACCCUGAAUUCUCUUCUGGCUCAUCUGGCUUCUCCCAUCAGCCCAGUGCUAGAAUGAAGGAGGAAGGCCCAAAGACCACCCCCACUCCCGCCCCAGGUUCCCUUUUUCUGUGCUGCCGCUGAGCCUCCACACCCUGAGCCCGGGACUGGCAGUGCCUUGACAGGCCCCCACAAAACAGGCUGCCUCUCCAGGAAUCCCCAUAAUAAGUCGGUGGGGCUGACCCUGUAUGUCCAGGGACUGGGGGAUGUGGAGGACAGUGAUGGAGAGUGAGCCAGCAAAUUGGGUGUAGACCCCUCCCUAGAAACUAAUCAUUUUCAAGCUGGCACGUGAGCAGUUAGCAACCCUGGGAACUGGGACACCCGGUCACUGUGUCUCUCUCCCAAUUCUGCCCCACGCUACCCACCCACCAGGUUCCACCCAGCUCUCCCGCACAGGACUUUCUGUCUCUGAUGCUCACUUGGUUCUAGGCAUUGCCUCCCCUGUGUUUUUGGGUGCACAGUUCUACCUUCCCUCUGAAAAGGCUGUCCCCAGGGGCAGCUGAUGGGGCUUCUCCCCUCCAUCUGUUCACUCUGGACCCAGCAUGGUGUGCAGCAGAACAGGCCUCUGCC